UAAUCUCAGCUGGCAACUGUGAGAUAUUCAUACAAUCCCUCACAGUGGUCUCUGGGGUUAUG
Molecule: microRNA precursor, 62 nt
Organism: Oryctolagus cuniculus (rabbit)
Lineage: Eukaryota; Metazoa; Chordata; Mammalia; Lagomorpha; Leporidae
Gene: ocu-mir-216a
Product: ocu-mir-216a
Source: Ensembl